AAGUGUUGAGCAGAGGCAGAUGUUAAAAUCACUCCUGCAGGAAGGCCCAGGGAUGAGAUUAACAAUACUGAACAUGUCCUUGUUUUAGGUAUGAAAGUCAACACCUGUAUUUUGGGUCUAAGUACAUGAGACACAAUGGUGGACAAUCUAUACUGAGAGCCUCAAUUCUUCCUGUAGACAGUGUCUCCUCAGUGGAGUAAAAGCCUCACGGUGUGUUGAAUCUUGGUCUGAGAGUCGCCAACCCACUGGUGGACCGGAUCCACUUACAAGAGUCAAUGUUCAAACUUUCAACUGUCUCCAGCUGUGAGAUUCAGAACCUCAACAGUGAGUUGUGUUCAUGUGUGUGGAUGACAAUCUUUAUUGUGGGAUGGGGGUGCAUAUGAGUGUUACAGUCUCAUCUGUGUACUAGGCCCUGUUAGGACGCUUACUGGCCUGAGGCUUUAACUGGUAUGCAUGAGAGUCACAAUUCUCUCUGAGUCCCUAUGUUGGUAUUAACCCAUGAUCAUACCUAUGGCCCUGAACCCAGGUAUGAGAACCAACAUCUCUUCAACUGUCUGGGUCCAGAUAGGAGAGUCUUCUACUGGCUAUAAGCUGGGUUAAGAAAUUAGUCAGCAUUCCAACUGUGGCUGGAUGUUUACAUAUAAUGCUCGCAAUACAAACUGCAUGCUGAGCUCAGCUGCCCCCCUCCUCUAGAAAGCCUUCCUGGGUUUCUCCGUGUCACCAUAAGAUCAUGUCUGCCUAUCUCUAACAGCUCCAACUUUUCUAGUUUGUCAUUGUCUCCCUUUGUCAUGGUGCUUUAAAUUCCCUCAGGACUGCACUGUUUGGCUUCUAGAAUGUCCCCAGAGUACAGGGCAAGGGCUGGCCCAGAUAAGGAACCCCAUGAGAGUUUACUAAGCAAAUGCUGAAUGGUGUGACUAAGCCCCCACCUGUGGUCCCCAACCACUGGCCCACCCUGCCCCAGUGACUUGCAGCUCUCCUCUGAGGAUUCCACUGUGAGGUGGUGCAGGCCUCUGGAAAGGUGGCGUGGGUCCCAUCAGGUGACCCCUGGGUGCUGGCCCUGCCAGACCACAGCAGACUGAGGAGCAGCAGCAGGCCACCUGUGCCACAACAGAAGGAACUGACCCACUGGAGCCGGGGCUGGGGUCCCCAGGCACAGGGUGUUCUGUGGGUGGGACAGCUGGCCAGGCUGGGCACGUGCAUCCCCUUGGCUCCACCAAGUCAAGCAGUGUCCCAGCCACAAGAACCACCAUGGUGCUGACCAUCAUGCAAUAGUAGAGGCCCCCAUCACACAUCUGGACACAGGAGAGAGAAGACGAAAUGGGUCACAUGAAAGGUACUGGAGACCUAGGUGUUAGUAUUUCUCUACCCUAGGUCACUUUACAACCUUGGAGAGGUCAUUUGACACCUCUGUGCCUCAGUUUCUUCAUCUGCAAAAUGGAGAUGGUGUCCCGGACUUUGCAGCACUAUUUUGAAGGUCAGAGAUAAUGGGUAUCAGCACUGCGCCUGGGACAUGGUAGGAACUAAGUGUGACACUCUAGGCCUCUCCCCAGUCCUCAGGAGCCUCAUCUACUGCUGCAUAUUAAGAUUCCCCACCCACGGCCGGGUGUGGUGGCUCACACCUGUAAUCCCAGCGCUUUGGGAGGCCAAGGUGGGAGGAUCACCGGAGGUCAGGAGUUCGAGAUCAGCCUGGCCAACAUGGUGAAACCCCAUCUCUACUAAAAAUACAAAAAUUAGCCGGGCGUGCUAGCACAUGCCUGUAAUCCCAGCUACUCAGGAGACUGAGGCAGGAGAAUCGCUUGAACCCAGGAGGCGAAGGUUGCAGUGAGCUGAGAUCACGCCAUCGCACACCAGCCUGGGGGACAAGAGCAAGACUUUGUCUCAAACAAUAAUAAUAAUAAUGAUUGCCCACCCUGAUGCCUUAUGGGAAGCUGAGAGGGAGGAGAAUGAAUACUUGUUGGGUGGACCAGGCCUGCCAGAAUCAGGGUUUGCUGGCUAUGCUCUGCCUUACUUCACGUGGUCACAAUCCCAUGAGAUCCACGCUGUUAACUCCACUGGACAAAGAAGACACUGGGACCUAGGGCAAACAGAACAUUGAAACAGAGCAUUCAAAUGUCUGAAACUGAAACUAACAACAUGGAGCAAAACUUUGUGCAAAAAGAUGUUCACCAUGCCCUUGUUUAUAAGGGUUAUCAUUUGAAAAAUGCUCAAGUGUCCAAUUAUAAAGAAAUGGGGAUGCAGGUUAUGAAGAUGAGAGCGUGAGACAGCGAGCUGUAAGGGAAGCAGGUUACCCAGGGAUGGACAGAGGAUGGGCCCUGGCCCUCAUGUUAUGAAGCUUCUCCACGUGGUGCCUUCCUCUGUCAAAUGGGCAGAAGAAUAUCCUUUUGAUAGAAUUAAAAUAUACGAAAACCAUUUAUUCUCCUGUUACAAUGAUUUUUAUUUCCACAGCAACACUUAGUACCUGCCCCCCCCUCCAGCUUGCCCUGCCCACCAACCAGGAGCGGGGCCAGCCUGGAUCUCUUCUCUGCCGCUGGCGUAGGGGCGGGGGCGGGGGACAGUGUCUUCAGCAAAAGUCUGCGGAUAGAAAGGCCCCGCUCCUGUCCGGACAGCAGGAAUGGGAGAGCCGCCUCCAACCCCAGCCCCAUGGAGCAGGGCAGAAACGCUGCCCACUGCCCUGCUCCUGCCACCAGGAAGGGCGUGUGGGGGGCCACUUUCUGUAAAGAAGAAACCGCCUGAACAACAAGUGGCUCAAGGCACCCUUGUCUAACGACCAGGGACACUGAGCGCCAGGGCCCAAGUCACCAGCAAGAGAAAACCCAGGCGGAGCCCAGGGUGUCCCCCACUGCCCACCAGCCACUGCGGUCAACGUGAAGGGCAAGGGUGCAAGCGGGAUCGCGUCACAGGGAGCCGAGUGAGCCCAGAAAGUAGGAGAAGGACGUUUCCACCCACCUGGAGCGCAGUCCGUUUGCAGCCGGCGGCAGAAUGCUGCUGUCUCCAUCAAUAAAGUCCAUGUUAGCCACCUAGAGGAUAAAAUACCACGAGGAGGAGUAGCAAGGUGCCCCUGUUGACAGAUCUUGAAGCACAAGCUCACUCCCAGAAGCACAGCUGCCUAGUCAACAAACAGCUGACAAUACAUGUCUGAAGGAGCUCAGCUGGGAACAGAAGAAUGGCCCCACUGAGCCUAGCCUAAAUGGCGGACCAUCUCAAUUAUGAGCUAAUAAGUUUUGGAUGAUUUGUUAUGCUGCCAUACCUAACUAAUACAUGCACCCAGUGCAGAUUGGGUGUCAAGAUUUAAAGACAGUUUGAUUAUUAGUCACCUUCUAACAAUGGGCACCCUAAAGGUACUGACAUUUUUCCCGAUUUAAAGUUAAAUGUCUUGUAAGGCAAUGUUGACUGAUGCAGGAAUACUUGUAGACAUGUAUGCAUGUGAUUGGUGCUUAUAUGCACACAGUCCCCCACACCACAGGAAAAAACCGAUGACCAGAGCCUGACCAUUAUGGCCAAGGCCAAAUAGCCAAAGUUUGCCUUUAAUCUAUUUUCUUCAUAUCUAAAAAUUGGAGGUCAAUACUGUGGACAGGUCUGAAGACAUAGAGUUUUGUUCUCCUGUGGCCCCAUCAUUCUUCAGUGGUCUACCUGUGGUUAUUUUAUUCUUGUUACCUUCUGCUCUUUCUAUGACCACUAUCUGUUCCACCCUUGAAACUGAAGACAGAUGUUAGUAGAAAGAGGCUGUUCCCUCAUGUCGGGCAUGUGGGAUACGAUGAGGUUUCUCUUCAAAUAGCCUGAUCAAUCUUUUAUUCUUUAAUUCAUAGUACCCACACACACACCCCUUUUUUUCCUUUUUCUCCUUUUUCCUUUCUGCCUUUGUUAGAUGCCCAGGCACGCCACAGUACCAGGCAUUAUCAGUACCAGCUCACAUUUCUUCCCUUAUUUGGAAAGAGGACUAACUUUCUAGCUCAAUGCAGACACCCCUUCCCCUUCCUCUCUGCAUUCUUUUGCAUGCCCACCUUAUCUAAAAAAAUCAAAUGUUUAGCCAACCAGGAUUAGUUCAGAUUGUACGACCCGACCCUGGCCAAUGGGGAAAGGGUACAGGGGCAGGACUUGUGUCAGGAAUAAAGGCUCUUGUGCCCCUUUGUUCAGGUGUGCUCUCAUGGUGACUGGACAAGAACGCACCCCUCUGUGCAGAACUAAAAUUGCUUUGCUAGGAAUCCUUUGUUCGAGUGUUCAAUUUCCUUAUGAUUUUGAGCGUUAUUCCUAACAGGAAGAAAAGGGAUAUUCAGGCCUUUCACAGACCUGACAACAGAGCUGCACUUCAAUGUGACAGGUAUUGACCAUGUGUGACUCCUGGGAGCCUGGAAUGUGGCUGGUCUGAGCUGCAAUUUGCAAGAAAGGUAAAAUGCAGAGUUAGUUUCAAAGAUUUAGUUCCAUAAAUAUAAAAAUAUACAACAUAUAGAUAAAAAUAUCUAUAUAUAAUAUGGAUAAAAAUACAUAGCAUAAUGCAAUAUAUAGAUACAUAAUUAUGUUAUAUAUAAAUAUAUAUCUCAUUCAUAAUUAUACAUUGCUCACAUAUUAAAAUAAUAUUUUGGAUAUAUUGCUUUAAUUAAAUUGUUACAACAGACGGAUGCAGUGUCUCACGCUUGUAAUCUCAACACUUUGGGAGGCCGAGGUGGGCGUAUCACGAGGUCAGGAGAUCGAGCCAUCCUGGCUAACACGGUGAAACGUGUCUCUACGAAAAAUACAAAAAAUUAGCCAGGCAUGGUGGCAGGCGCCUGUAGUCCCAGCUACUUAGGGGACUGAAGCAGGAGAAUGGCGUGAACUCGGGAGGCGGAGCUUUCAGUCAGCCGAGAUCGCGUCACUGCACUCCAGCCUGGUCAACAGAGCGACUCCGUCUCAAAAAACAAAAACAAAGACAAAAAAUCUCAUGCUGCCUUCUCAAAGCCAGGAAGGUUAUAAAACCUGAAAUUUCAAAAUCAUUAUUAUUAUAUUCUUUUCAUUUGUGAAUAGCCAUACAGUAUAAUAUUUAUAAAUGCAUAUAACCUUAUACACAAGAUUACAUGCAAACACCCUCUAGGGUGGGCCUGGCUCAGCUCAGGGACGAAGCCCUUUCUGAGCGGGCGGCAGCUUAGGCAGUCACUCUUUCUUCAUUCAGCCUAGCGUUUGGUCACAUCUUCUGUCAAUCACGAUGUGAGGAGGCGGGGAUUUAAGCGUUAUCCAAUCAGCAACACUGGGCUGGAAACCCUCCAAUCAGCCACGCAGCUGGAGCGGGCAAGACAGCUUCCGGAAUAUGGGGGCCUUUGUCUCCGGCUGCAGCUGGAGUUCUACGUCUAGUCUUCAGAGGCCCAGUCUCCGUGACUUUGUGACCUGCAGGUAUUGGGAGAUCCACAGCUAAGAUGCCAGGACCCCCUGGAAGCCUAGAAAUGAUGUCUCUCCUGCUGAUCACCUUCCUCCUCCUCUAAUUUGCUGUCUCUCUGGACAAUGUGAAGUUUGACCUGAGCUCCCCUCCUCACACCCUGUAUGCAUGUUCUGUCUCUGGGUCUUCUGCUGUUGUGUUCCGCUGUCGUUUUGCUUGCUGACUCCACAGAGAGUUUGUGUCCUGGUGUCCACAAAGAGUGCACGUCAAGGUCAGGAGCUCGAGACCAGCCUGACCAACAUAGUGAAACCCAUCUCUACAAAAAAUACAAAAAUUAGCUGGGUGUGGUGGUGAGCACCUGUAAUCCCAGCUACUCAGGAGGCUGAGGCAGGAGAAUUGUUGAACUGGGGAGGUGGAGGAUGCAGUGAGCCAAGAUCAUGCCACUGAACUCCAGCCUCGGCAAUACAGCGAGACUCCAUCUCAAAAGGGGAAAAAAAAAAAUAUAACUUCAAAGAUGGUUCCUGGCCAGGUAUGGUAGCUCACGCAUGUAAUCCUAGCACUUUCAGAAGACAAGGUGGGUGGAUCACUUGGGGUCAGGAGUUCAAGAUCGGCCUGGCCAACAUGGUGAAACCCCAUCUCUACUAAAAAUACAAAAAUUAGGUGGAUGUGAUGGCGCAGGCCCAUAAUCCCAGCUACUUGGGAGGCUGAAACAGGAGAAGCACUUGAACCCAGGAGGUGAAGGUUGCAGUGAGCCAAGAUAUUGCCAGUGCACUCCAGCCUGGGCAACAGAGCAAGACUUCAUCUCAAAAAAACAAAAACAAAGAAACAAACAAACAAAAAAAUGGAAUACAAAAUGAGUUUCUAACAAAAUUGAUAUUUACCACACUUUGUGUAAGAAUCUAAUAGAUUUUUCCAGCCAGGCACAGUGACUCAAUCCUGCAAUCCCAGCACUUUGGGAGGCUGAGGCGGGCAGAUCAUCUGAGGUCAGGAGUUCUAGACCAGCCUGGCCAACAGGCUGAAACCCCAUCUCUACUAAAAUACAGAAAUUAACCAGGCGUGGUUGCGGGUGCUUGUAAUCCCAGCUAUUCAGGAGAUUGCGGCAACAUAGGAGGCAGAGGUUGCAGUGAGUCAAGACUGCAUCACUGCACUCCAGCCUGGGUGACAAGAGCAAGACUCCAUCUCAAAAAAAUAAAAUACAUAAAGAUUUUUCUUUUACAGACAAACAAUGCUAAGUGAUGUAAUUCUCUCACCCAGGAAAAACGUGUGCCUCUUAUUUUAUCAAUCCAAAAGUUAUAUUGAUAAGCAAAUUCCCCAGUUAAAACCACUUUUUCAGUGCAUUAAAAAAUAAACUUUCAGCCAGGUGUGGUGGCUCACUCCUGCAAUCCCAACACUUUGGGAGGCCAAGUCACUUUGCGCGAAUCACAUGAGGUCGGGAGUUUGAGACUAGCCAGACCAACAUGGAGAAACCCCGUCUCUACUAAAAAUACAAAAUUAGCCAGGCGUGG
RNAcentral lists this long non-coding RNA (6849 nucleotides) under Homo sapiens (human). RNAcentral's name for it is "HSALNT0396636". The stretch from base 1599 to 1715 matches the Rfam family "Metazoan signal recognition particle RNA". The record is from RNAcentral. Lineage: Eukaryota; Metazoa; Chordata; Mammalia; Primates; Hominidae.